Molecule: non-coding RNA, 147 nt
Organism: Caenorhabditis elegans
Lineage: Eukaryota; Metazoa; Nematoda; Chromadorea; Rhabditida; Rhabditidae
Source: Ensembl
UUUUAGAGGACGGAUUCGACAGGAAAAGGUGGGGAAUAUAAAAACGAACAUCACCGUUCAAUUAUCUAUCCUAUAUUUAUGUUCAGUUUUCCAUUAUUUUUGUGCUACUAGCUGGCUGAUAGUUAAUCGAACUAGAGAGCUUUUUUC